Molecule: ribosomal RNA, 495 nt
Filed under: uncultured bacterium
Lineage: Bacteria
Description: partial 16S ribosomal RNA
Rfam family: Bacterial small subunit ribosomal RNA
Source: RNAcentral
GACGAACGCUGGCGGCGUGCCUAAUACAUGCAAGUAGAACGCUGAAGGAGGAGCUUGCUUCUCCGGAUGAGUUGCGAACGGGUGAGUAACGCGUAGGUAACCUGCCUGGUAGCGGGGGAUAACUAUUGGAAACGAUAGCUAAUACCGCAUAAGAGUAGAUGUCGCAUGACAUUUGCUUAAAAGGUGCAACUGCACCACUACCAGAUGGACCUGCGUUGUAUUAGCUAGUUGGUGAGGUAACGGCUCACCAAGGCAACGAUACAUAGCCGACCUGAGAGGGGGAACGGCCAAACUGGGACUGGGACCCGGCCCAGAAUCCUUCGGGAGGCAGCAGUAGGGGAUCUUCGGCAAUGGACGGAAGUCUGAACGAGCAACGCCGCGGGAGGGAAGGAGGGUUUCGGAUCGUAAAGCUCUGUUGUAAGGGAAGGAAGAGUGUGGGAGUGGAAAGUUCACACUGUGACGGUAGCUUACCAGAAAGAGACGGCUAACUACGUG